AAAGGAAUAGACGGGGACUUGCACAAGCAGUGGAUUAUGUGGUUUAAUUCGAUGGUAAACGAAGAACCUCACCAGGGUUUGACACCUACAUGAAAGCUCCGAGAAACCGGAGCCCUCGCAAGACUAGUAGGCAGGUGCUGCAUGGUCGUCGUCAGUUCGUGGUUUGAAUUGUUCCCUUCAGUGGGGUAACGAACGCAACCCUCGUCGUGUGUUAUAAGUGUCACACGAGACUGCUCCUUUUUCGGAGAGGAAGGUGAGGAUGACGCCAGAUCAGCAUGGCCCUUUGAUAUCCUGGGCUACACACAUAAUACAAUCGCUAUUACAACGCGACGCAAUGGGGCGACCCGGAGCAAAUCGUUAGAAAAAUAGCGCCAGUUCGGAUUGGAGUCUGCAACUCGACUCCAUGAAGCCGGAAUUGCUAGUAAUCGCGGGUCAGACAUACCGCGGUGAAUACGUUCUCAAGUCUUGUACACACCGCCCGU
This 482-nucleotide ribosomal RNA is filed under the name uncultured bacterium. RNAcentral's name for it is "bacterial SSU rRNA". It matches the Rfam family "Bacterial small subunit ribosomal RNA", at positions 903 to 1397 of the family's 1533-position model. The record is from RNAcentral.